UACGGGGGGGGCAAGCGUUGUUCGGAAUUACUGGGCGUAAAGGGCUCGUAGGCGGCCUACUAAGUCGGACGUGAAAUCCCUCGGCUUAACCGGGGAACUGCGUCCGAUACUGGAUGGCUCGAGUAUGGGAGAGGGAUGCGGAAUUCCAGGUGUAGCGGUGAAAUGCGUAGAUAUCUGGAGGAACACCGGUGGCGAAGGCGGCAUCCUGGACCAUUACUGACGCUGAAUAGCGAAAGCCAGGGGAGCAAACGGG
RNAcentral lists this ribosomal RNA (253 nucleotides) under uncultured bacterium. Its description in RNAcentral is "partial 16S ribosomal RNA". It matches the Rfam family "Bacterial small subunit ribosomal RNA", at positions 524 to 776 of the family's 1533-position model. The record is from RNAcentral.